AUACGGAGGGUGCAAGCGUUGUUCGGAAUCACUGGGCGUAAAGGGCGCGCAGGCGGUUUGGUAAGUCAGAUGUGAAAGCCCAUGGCUCAACCAUGGAAGUGCAUUUGAAACUGUCAGACUAGAGUAUCAGAGGGGAAAGUGGAAUUCCCGGUGUAGAGGUGAAAUUCGUAGAUAUCGGGAGGAAUACCGGUGGCGAAGGCGACUUUCUGGCUGAAUACUGACGCUGAGGCGCGAAAGCGUGGGGAGCAAACAGGAUUAGAAACCCGAGUAGUCC
Molecule: ribosomal RNA, 274 nt
Filed under: uncultured bacterium
Lineage: Bacteria
Description: partial 16S ribosomal RNA
Rfam family: Bacterial small subunit ribosomal RNA
Source: RNAcentral